Molecule: ribosomal RNA, 780 nt
Filed under: uncultured Neocallimastigales
Lineage: Eukaryota; Fungi; Neocallimastigomycota; Neocallimastigomycetes; Neocallimastigales
Description: LSU rRNA
Rfam family: Eukaryotic large subunit ribosomal RNA
Source: RNAcentral
GCAUAUCAAUAAGCGGAGGAAAAGAAMCUAACAAGGAUUCCCCUAGUAACGGCGAGUGAAGCGGGAAGAGCUCAAAUUUGAAAUCUUAAAGGGUUUCCCUUUACGAAUUGUAGUUUAAAGAAGUGUUUUCUGUUGAGGUUUUGGUAGAAGUUCUUUGGAAUAGGACAUCAUAGAGGGUGAGAAUCCCGUAUUUGACCUUUACUUUCAACUUUGUGAUACACUUUCAAAGAGUCGGAUUGUUUGGGAAUGCGGUCCAAAAUGGGUGGUAAAUUUCAUCUAAAGCUAAAUAUUGGCGAGAGACCGAUAGCGAACAAGUACCGUGAGGGAAAGAUGAAAAGAACUUUGAAAAGAGAGUUAAACAGUACGUGAAAUUGUCAAAAGGGAAGCGUUUGACACCAGUGUUGUUUUUCUGAAAAUCAAUUAAAGAACUGUUUAUGCUAAGUUGUUUAGACUUUAUCAGCUAACUGUUUAGUUUUGAGCUUUUCUUUAAUGCACUUUUCAGUUAACAAGUCAACAUCAAUUUCUUUUGCUGUAAAAAAGCUUGAGGAAGGUGGCUUGAGAUUCGUCUUAAGUGUUUAUAGCCUCUUGCCUAUGCAGUCGGAGAGAUUGAGGUCUGCAGCGUAGAUCCUUCGGGGCUAAAUGCAUUUGUGCUAAGUUAUAACAUUUUAUAGACAACUUGUUGACUAUGAUUUGUCUUGUAGCUUACUCGCUUAUGUUAUUUUACCUACGCUUAGGAUGUUGACAAAAUGGUUUUAAACGACCCGUCUUGAAACACGGACC